This 207-nucleotide ribosomal RNA is filed under the name uncultured bacterium. RNAcentral describes it as "partial 16S ribosomal RNA". It matches the Rfam family "Bacterial small subunit ribosomal RNA", at positions 568 to 774 of the family's 1533-position model. The record is from RNAcentral.
CGCGUAGGUGGUUUGGUCAGUCAGAUGUGAAAGCCCCGGGCUCAACCUGGGAACUGCAUUUGAUACUGCUGAACUAGAGUGUGGUAGAGGGAAGUGGAAUUCCGGGUGUAGCGGUGAAAUGCGUAGAGAUCCGGAGGAACAUCAGUGGCGAAGGCGGCUUCCUGGACCAACACUGACACUGAGGUGCGAAAGCGUGGGUAGCAAACA